AAGUUCUGACGCGCAUGAAAGGUAUAACGACUGGGGAACUGUCUCAACGAGGAGCCCGGUGAAAAUGCGAGUCCAGCGAAGACGCUGGGUACCCGCAGCAAGACGAAAAGACCCUAGGAGCUUUACUGCAGUCUGGUAUUGAUUUUAUUUUUAAGAUGCGUAGCGUAGUGGGGAGGCUUUGAAGCCCUGAUUUCGGUUGGGGUGGAGCCGCCAAUGAAACACCCAUCUUCUUAAAAAUAUUAUCUAACCUUAAAGGCAAAAACUUUAGGGGACAGUGCUUGAUGGGCAGUUUUCGUGGGGCGCGAUCCUCCUAAAAGGUAACGGAGGAAUCUAUUAAGGUUGGCUAUCCGCCAAUGGAAACGGCGGAGGUAGUGCAAAGGCAUAAGCCAGCUUUAUAGCAAGGGAGACAUCCCGCGCUAUUGCGAAAGCAGAGCUUAGUGACCCGAUGCGUCGUUGUAGGAGGCGCAAAGACACUGGACAAAAGUUACCCUAGGGAUAACAGGCUGGUGGAGCCCGAAAGUCCAAAUCGACGGCUCCGCUCGGCACCU
Molecule: ribosomal RNA, 548 nt
Filed under: Deltaproteobacteria bacterium
Lineage: Bacteria; Pseudomonadati; Myxococcota; Myxococcia
Description: partial 23S ribosomal RNA
Rfam family: Bacterial large subunit ribosomal RNA
Source: RNAcentral